AUGGCAGCCUCUUGAAGAGGAAUGAGUUGAGAUAUAUACUUCUUAUGAAAGGAAAAGCACAGCAUAUAAAGGAUUGGUCCUACUCAGGCUUUCAGGGAUGCAUUUGGGAUCUGGAAAUUUGUUCUUUGUAAACAAGAGGGAAGCAUAGUUUCCUGAGAAUAUCGUGCUGUAGCUGCCACAGGUAAGUACUUUAGCCCACAGACCUGGGUGAAACUCUGCAUUCUGUCAUUCUAACCAGGGGGC
This 243-nucleotide long non-coding RNA is filed under the name Fukomys damarensis (Damara mole-rat). RNAcentral's name for it is "lncRNA (ENSFDAG00000023385.1)". Lineage: Eukaryota; Metazoa; Chordata; Mammalia; Rodentia; Bathyergidae. The record is from RNAcentral.